This 563-nucleotide ribosomal RNA is filed under the name Saccharomycopsis fibuligera. RNAcentral describes it as "partial large subunit ribosomal RNA". It matches the Rfam family "Eukaryotic large subunit ribosomal RNA", at positions 73 to 658 of the family's 3401-position model. Lineage: Eukaryota; Fungi; Ascomycota; Saccharomycetes; Ascoideales; Saccharomycopsidaceae. The record is from RNAcentral.
AUUGCUUAGUAACGGCGAGUGAAGCGGCAAAAGCUCAAAUUUGAAAGCUAGCACCUUCGGUGUUCGCGUUGUAAUUUGAAGAUAGUUUCCUUGAGUAGUCCUUUAUCUAUGUUCCUUGGAACAGGACGUCAUAGAGGGUGAGAACCCCGUAUGAUUUUGGAUACUACUCUUUGUGGGAUUCUAUCGAAGAGUCGAGUUGUUUGGGAAUGCAGCUCUAAGUGGGUGGUAAAUUCCAUCUAAAGCUAAAUAUUGGCGAGAGACCGAUAGCGAACAAGUACAGUGAUGGAAAGAUGAAAAGAACUCUGAAGAGAGAGUGAAAAAGUACGUGAAAUUGCUGAAAGGGAAGGGCUUGAGGUCAGACUUGGUGUUUAAUGAUUAUCAGUUCUUCUUGGACUGUGCACUCGUUUUUCACCGGGCCAAUAUCAGUUUUAGCGGUAGAGUACCCCUUGAAAUGUGGCUUCCUUCGGGGAGUGUUAUAGUCUUGGGGAGAUCUACUUGCUGGGACUGAGGACUGCGCUUCGGCAAGGAUAUUGGCGUAAUGACCUUAAGCCGCCCGUCUUGAA